AACGAACGCUGGCGGCAGGCUUAACACAUGCAAGUCGAACGCCCCGCAAGGGGAGUGGCAGACGGGUGAGUAACGCGUGGGAACGUGCCCUUCGCUUCGGAAUAGCCCCGGGAAACUGGGAGUAAUACCGAAUACGCCGUAUUGGGAAAGAUUUAUCGGCGAAGGAUCGGCCCGCGUUAGAUUAGCUAGUUGGCGGUGUAAUGGACCACCAAGGCUACGAUCUAUAGCUGGUCUGAGAGGAUGAUCAGCCACACUGGGACUGAGACACGGCCCAGACUCCUACGGGAGGCAGCAGUGGGGAAUCUUGGACAAUGGGCGCAAGCCUGAUCCAGCCAUGCCGCGUGAGUGAAGAAGGCCUUAGGGUUGUAAAACUCUUUCGCCGGAGAAGAUAAUGACGGUAUCCGGAGAAGAAGCCCCGGCUAACUUCGUGCCAGCAGCCGCAGUAA
RNAcentral lists this ribosomal RNA (446 nucleotides) under uncultured bacterium. Its description in RNAcentral is "partial 16S ribosomal RNA". It matches the Rfam family "Bacterial small subunit ribosomal RNA", at positions 29 to 523 of the family's 1533-position model. The record is from RNAcentral.